AUUUGUGUUCCAACCUUUUCCAGGAGUUGGCAGUUUUAUUAUUACUAUCACUAUCCUACGGAUAUGGUUUUUCUCUGCCUUCUUCACUCUUCACACCCUCCCUUUACAAGGAGAUACAGAAAUAAUAUGGCCCAAGGUUUUUCUUCUAGGCAGGGAUGAAUCCCAAGAGCCAGCUCCGUGCCAGACACAAAGCACUAUUGGCUGUGUGUUAAGGCCAAGAUUUGCCUCAUGGUUGGGAGCUCCAUUCUCUAGAUGUGACCUCACAGUUCAUGAAAUUAGAAAUGGGGGCUAAUUAUAUAAUUUAAAGAAGUUCCCGACCAUCACCCAUGUCCAGGAAAGGUACUGAAUGUCUACUAAGGUCUUCUGAACACCAAGAAUUCCUGUUCAACCAGAUGGAUAGUUUGCAUUCUCCUGGAUCUUGGCCUCCUCGCAAGCUGUGAAGGCACUGAAGUCACAGUGAUAAAGUGGCUUGCUCAAGGAGUUCCAGGUGACCUUUCAAACUAAGAACAAAAAGGAGAGAAGACGGCUGAAGAUGAACGAUGCACUUCUGCCAUUCAUAGAGCCAGAGUUACAGUAGGGAAGGACAGGAUCGUCCUUCCUGCGUUUCCGUGUUCAUGACUACAGUGCUACCAACUGCACAUCGUUUCUGACUGACAGCAUGAGUAGGAGUAACAGGGUUAUUUUAUUUCCUAAAUCAUCCUAUUGAGGAAAACAGAAAAUGUGUCACUCCUUAUUUUAAAGUUUGACUAAAAUCUCUGAUAAAUCUUUGAUUAAACUCUCAGCACUAAACAGGCAUGGACCAGAAGCACACCGAAGGAUGUUAAACACGUAUGUUGACUUAAGAGUGGACUGAAGCACAUUGAGGUGAAAUGAACUAUGAUUUAGACUUAAGUAUGGUUUAUUUUAAAGCAACAAGAAACGUCACUUACGUAUAGAGAGGGAUGUAUUUAGUCCUAGAACUUGGACUCACACUGAGAAAAAGAAAAAAAUAGGCAAUUGAGUUAUUGAUAUUUUAAAUAAAUAUCAAAUUACUAUAACAAGUCUCAAAUUAAAAGAUCUUGAGAGAUGUGGAAA
This is a long non-coding RNA of Peromyscus eremicus (cactus mouse), 1074 nucleotides long. RefSeq lists it as uncharacterized. Lineage: Eukaryota; Metazoa; Chordata; Mammalia; Rodentia; Cricetidae. The transcript has 4 exons. The record is from RefSeq and is a predicted model, not a curated record.